RNAcentral lists this ribosomal RNA (635 nucleotides) under uncultured Marinobacter sp. RNAcentral's name for it is "bacterial SSU rRNA". It matches the Rfam family "Bacterial small subunit ribosomal RNA", at positions 870 to 1504 of the family's 1533-position model. Lineage: Bacteria; Pseudomonadati; Pseudomonadota; Gammaproteobacteria; Pseudomonadales; Marinobacteraceae. The record is from RNAcentral.
CGCCUGGGGAGUACGGCCGCAAGGUUAAAACUCAAAUGAAUUGACGGGGGCCCGCACAAGCGGUGGAGCAUGUGGUUUAAUUCGACGCAACGCGAAGAACCUUACCUGGCCUUGACAUCCAGAGAGCUUUCCAGAGAUGGAUUGGUGCCUUCGGGAACUCUGAGACAGGUGCUGCAUGGCCGUCGUCAGCUCGUGUCGUGAGAUGUUGGGUUAAGUCCCGUAACGAGCGCAACCCCUAUCCCUGGUUGCUAGCAGGUAAUGCUGAGAACUCCAGGGAGACUGCCGGUGACAAACCGGAGGAAGGUGGGGAUGACGUCAGGUCAUCAUGGCCCUUACGGCCAGGGCAACACACGUGCUACAAUGGCGCGUACAGAGGGCUGCCAACUCGCGAGAGUGAGCCAAUCCCUUAAAACGCGUCGUAGUCCGGAUCGGAGUCUGCAACUCGACUCCGUGAAGUCGGAAUCGCUAGUAAUCGCGAAUCAGAAUGUCGCGGUGAAUACGUUCCCGGGCCUUGUACACACCGCCCGUCACACCAUGGGAGUGGAUUGCACCAGAAGUAGUUAGUCUAACCUUCGGGAGGACGAUUACCACGGUGUGGUUCAUGACUGGGGUGAAGUCGUAACAAGGUAACCGUA